This 237-nucleotide long non-coding RNA is filed under the name Elaeis guineensis (African oil palm). Its description in RNAcentral is "long non-coding RNA (EGUI_LNC022107)". The record is from RNAcentral. Lineage: Eukaryota; Viridiplantae; Streptophyta; Magnoliopsida; Arecales; Arecaceae.
GGAGAUCAAAGCAAACCCAAAAAAAUUUUAAACUCUCCAAUAAAUAAAGCCUCUGAGGAUGAUCAAAGAAGUACAGCAUCUAAUAGGAAGCAUUACGCUUUGAACAGGUUCCUCCCAAGGUCGGCUAAAAAAUAGCCUCCCUUUCUUUAAAGCUCUCAAACAAGUAAAGAAUUUUCAAUGAUCGGAUAAAUGUCAAGUCAUCUUUGAUGAACUUAAUUGAUAUCUUGAUUCACCUCC